This is a long non-coding RNA of Aegilops tauschii subsp. strangulata, 2012 nucleotides long. RefSeq lists it as uncharacterized. Lineage: Eukaryota; Viridiplantae; Streptophyta; Magnoliopsida; Poales; Poaceae. The record is from RefSeq and is a predicted model, not a curated record.
AUGGGGGUGAGGUAAUAAUAAUAUAGGUUGCGGUCUUCAAAACACAUAGGGCAUUUGGUGUGACCCCAUUAUCGAUAUCUCCUCUCCUCUCCUUACCUCACCCUUCCCUUGCGUUCUUCAAUUCAGUUCUGGCCAGAAGCUGCCCCCUUCUCCUCCUCACUUCUUCUAUCCCACACUCCGUCUGGUGCACAAAGAUCUUCAAGCGCUUCAAGAUUCAGAAGGCUGGAAGAUGGUUAAGGUGAGAUGGGGGAAAGAGGUCUGAAAUAAAAAGGGAAUACGAUUUAUGUAUGGAAUCCGGUAAAAUACCGAUAUUGUGUGAUAUCUCGAACGACUGUGUUGUUGGGGAGUGAGCCAUUGUUUAUCGAUGAUCUCACCCAAAGAGCCGAGGCACAAAGGAGGAAGCAAAGCAUUCACACAGGAUCAUACAACAAAGAAGUGGACACUUUGAUUUGCGAGAGUUGGAUGGAGAUAGGCCAAGAUCCCAAGACCGGUGAAACAAAAGGGAUCCGUCUUUUGGAUGAGAUUUCAUACAACCUUUCAUGAACGGAGGAAGUUUGCGCCCUGCAAGUUUGCAAGCAACCAUGGCAUCAAAUCAAUCCAAAAGAGAUGAGGGUUCGUUCAACAAGAAUGCAACAAGUAUUGCGCUGCGCUUGAGAGCGUCGAAGCCCGUCCUGUGAGUGGCCUAGGCGUGGGUGACUUGGCAUUCCAAUAUUUGGAAGCCUUCAAGGCCUGGCAUAAGAACAAGCCAUUCACUCUCACCCAUUGUUGGUCGCUCAUCAAAGAUUGUCACAAGUUCAAAGAUCAAUAUGCCACUCUAAAGAAGAAAGAAGGGCCGGCGACCGUGGCUGGGAAUGGAGACGUGCUCAAGAGGCCGAGGGCAAGACCAACUCGUUGCUUGACGAGAAGCGUGAUGCGACAUCUAUUGCCUUGCAAGAAACUUUGCACGGCAGGACGACUCAAAAGGAAGUGAGGGGGGAGAGGAAGCGCGAAGGAAAUGAAGAUAAAGUUGGAGCUCCAAAUGAAGAAGCUUGACAUGGAGGAGGCCGCCAAGAGGAGGAAGCUCGCGAUCGAGGCCACCAAUGCCGACACCAAAGCAAAAGAGGCGGUGCUAGCAAUCAUGAGCGUGAACUUGACCAACACGUCCCCGAAGAGAAGAAUUUGGUCAGCGAACCGGCAAAAGGAGAUGUUCGACCAAGACAUCCUGAACUAGGGAGGCCUCGGCCGUGGACUAUGGCUGUUCUUUUUGAAGGUUGACAAGUGUGCAUGCCGGUGACUUUAUUGCCAGCGAGAAAAUUUGUUCAUUUUGAAGGCUGGCUAGUGUGUUGUCCAUUGCCUUUGUUGCCGGCGUGAAAACUUGAGGGUUGACCAUUUUGUAGGUUGGCAUAUGUUUGCCGGCCGCUGGCUUUGUUGGCGGCAUGAACUAUGCCCGUUGGCUUGAACUACGACCGUGAUGGACAAAAAUGCAUUUGUAAAAUUAUUCAGGCGGCCGGACCAGAUGUGUCUGCGCGUUGGGCGCAUGACGAGCGCAUCUAGACCCGAUGGCACCCCAUUCGUUUGGUGUUGUAUAUUGCUCUAAGAGCACGUAAAUUGCGCUUGUACCCUUUUCAACAAAUAACGUUUUCACCGAGGAGUUCUCAAUUAGAAAGAGCAGUGUUUUACGGACGACAGAUUCAUGCACGAUUCACAAACGACAAGUCAUCUAGACCAUUAGAUUUCUUCUUUUUCUAAUCUGCGUGGCUUCCAAUCAUGAUGUGCACAAAUCGUGCAUCAACAAAUCGUGUGUACAGCAGUUUCGAUUAGAAAUUUUCAAAAAUACGCAACAUGCAAAUAAGGCCAACUCUAGCGCACGACCUCAAAUGGACGUCCGUUUUACCCUGCUUUCGUCAUUUUGGGGCGGUAAUGAGGUCGCCCAUGUCCGGAUCGGGCCGUUGCCGUGUCGGUGCGCCCAACGCGUAGCCGCACCCCAUAUCAUGUCUGGGGUGGACAAGAUAAAAAAAAAUCACAAAAUUCAA